Molecule: long non-coding RNA, 8445 nt
Filed under: Solanum tuberosum (potato)
Lineage: Eukaryota; Viridiplantae; Streptophyta; Magnoliopsida; Solanales; Solanaceae
Description: long non-coding RNA (STUB_LNC007950)
Source: RNAcentral
GAAAAUUUUAUUAUAUUCUAAGGGCAUUUUGUUUGCCAAUCCUUUCUUCUACACUCUUCUUUGCUUACCAUUAACAAAGCCGAUGCUCUACUCAAGAAAGUACAAACUUUGAGUUCAUUCUUAACUGGGUAUUUUAAUUGCAGGUAAUUUUUCUCUCAAUUUUUGCUUUUAUCCUCUUAAAAUUCUUUUCAAAUUCCUCAACAUAGAGAAAGGGCUAGAGUUUCGGAAAAAAAUUUAAGAACAAACAUAUCACUGAAUCUAUUUUUGUAUUUGUUCCAGUGGAUUGAAGAACCGAAUCCUAUAUGGGUAUAUCUAUACACAGAAAAUCUAUAGUUUUUAUGGGAUUAUAAUAACGAUUAGAGAGGCAUGGCUCAAGCUCUCUCUGUCAAACAACAAUAGGGAAUAAAAGCAACGGAUUUGUGUUAAGCUCCGGGUCUCUACCAUUGUUGUCGAUAGAUUGACGUUGGGCAUCCAUCUCUGAGCUUUCUAUUAUUAUUUUUAUCUCUAAUGUAACUGUUCUCUCUUCUCAACCAAUUUGAUACCAAAAAUCAAAUUCUUCUUUUUCCUCCUCAAGGUUCCAGUCUCAGGAGCUUAUCAACAAAAAAAAAUAAAAAUCUUGCACCCGCCACUUUCAUAAACCCUGAAGGUACAUUGGUUGAAGCUUUUUUAUUAUAAGCUUCCCUGUACAAGUAAAUUUGCUAUUUUUGACAUUAUGUACGCACGGCUGAAUGCUGAUGAAUCAAAUGGUGGUGACUCGUGAGUGAUCCUGACAUUUUUUGGCUCAUCUUCAUGAGGUUCGUUUUAUACAAUUUUAGCCCUUCAGUUUCAAGUGACAAAGAUGUAGGAUUAAAUGUACUUAAGAUUGUUGUAAUUGAAGCUCUCAAGCAUUAGUUUAGUUUUGAGUUAUUUCUGAAUAUAUUUUCUAGAGAGUUGUUUUAUCUGUUGAUUCAAUUCUGAUGAGGAUAUCUUUUAUUGUAUAGUCACAGGCUGCUGUUGUGUGUGUUGCUUAUCUUCUAUGAUCGAAUUUGAUUGUCAAUUAAUUUUCUAUACAAUUAAUAGAUAAAAUUGGUGUUUAUAUCUCUUUAAAGAUUUCUUUCUUCCCUAAAUAUUUCUUGUGGAAUAUCAGUAAUAGUGCUUUGUGGAAUUUGCAAGAAACUAAUGAAGCACCUCAAAUGAUGCUAAAUUAUAUAUAUAUGACACUGAUAUUCUGCUUCCAAUUAUCUAUAUCCAAGUUCCAUUUGUUCCCUUUGAUUUUCCUUUCAGUAUCUCCACCAUUUGCUCUUUGUUUGUUAUAAGGUUCUUCUGUGUUAUUUUUGGUUUUCUUCUAUUUACGUUUUACAUAAUGUGAGUUUUGAGCAAAAAGCUAUAUCAUAAUGACUUGUGUUUAUUUAAUUAUUUGUUGUGGUCAUACUGAAAGUCAAUCACUUCAUCUGUCUCUUUUUGUGAUCUGAAGGCCUGAAAAUCACACUAAAGACCGAUGACAUUAAAAGAGAAUUCAUGAAAUUAAAAAUUUAACAUUAAAGGAUAAAAAUUUAGAUGUGCUGUCAUUUAAUUUUGUUUUUAGAAUCUGUUGUAUAAUUCCCUUUCUUAAAUUACCUGAAUUGUUCUGCAAGUGAAGAUUAUUUUUUUUGGUAACAACUGUAAAAUAUUACCAUAACCACCCAAGAACGGAUACAAAUAAAGAGCACCUAAUUCUGAUAAUAGAGAACAGGCCUCCUACCAAACAUAAAACCAAUUACAUAACAAAUGUUGAAUAAAGUGUCUACAAUUUUUUUGCUUUCUUUGAACUACUAAGUGUAAUCUUUCAAUAAUUUCCUUAUUUAUCUGUGUUACUGCCUCCUUCGUAUGUACACGUUUGUCUGUAAACCUCCUCCAAUUCCUGGCACGCCAAGUGUGGUAUAUGAUAUCUCCACAGAUAGCUGCCAUGAUCUCCUUUUUAAUUGCUUCCGGUGAUUACCUUUUAUGUUUUCCAGGACCUUCAUGAUACUAAUAAUCUGCACUGGUAUUUCAGUCCAAUGGUGCAUAACUUGCCACACAGCUAAUGUCCAUUUGCAUUUCUCGAAUAGGUGAACAUUAGUCUCCAUUACUUUCUCAUCACAUAAACAACAUUCAGUGUCAUCAACCUGAAUAUUCAAUCUCAGCUUUCUCUCCUGUGUAAGAUUUCUAUUUCACUAGAGUAUUAUAUUAUUAAAAGAAUUAAUUAUUGAACAUAAAUUUGCUUCAUAGUCAAAGCACACCAGUAAAAAAGAGUUGGUAUCAAUGAAAACAAAAUUAUGACAUGAGAGAUUAGUACACUUGACUUGAACACAAGUUUCAAAAUAAACCAUGAAGAGAAAACAAAUAAAUAAUUAGCCAUCUUUAUAAUUCUAUACACAAAAUGGAGAUGAAAGUGUAGGUCAGAAAGACCACAGAUUACAGAACUAUGAUCACCAGUCAUCUUUCCUUCUCCGUUGGAUGGCAUUUUAGUUCACUUUUCUCCAUUCUUUUUACACACCUUAUCUCAGAAUCUCCCAUCAAAUUUAACUCUGUGUGUGUGGCGUACCUAGAAUCUAACAACAUCUUUUGACUAAAUACCAUCCUAAAUUACCCCUACAUUUAUACAGUGUGCUAUUGGAAGUUACUCACUUUAGGAAACAUGAAGUUCUUAUCUUUAAUCUAUCACUUACUUGGUUGUUUAAGUUAUUUUUAUUUUAUUGCACGGAGAGUUACUUACAUUUUGAAAAAUGUUGUUCUAAGCUUUUAACAAUUAUUUAUUUGGCGUUCACACUUUGUGAGUGCUCUCUUCAAAACGUGGAAAAAAUAUAUCCUAAAUAGCUUCUACGACAAUCGCAGUAAUGCAUCAAACAAUGACACUGUAGUUUAUCUGAAUUACUCACCUAAUCAAUUAAGAUCUUGACACACUUUCUACAGAUCUUUUAAGAUCCUAGAUGAAACAUAAGUAUCUUUAAAGUUAUAGCUCGCUAAUUACUAUUUUUUGCACUCAGUUUUAGAAUUCUUUAGUUGACGAUUGGUGUUUACUUGAUUUUUGAAGGUAUUUCAAAACAUCUCCCUGUUAUGUGUUUCCGGGAUAGCAAAGGUUGGCUACUAAGCUAGGUAUUGUAUCUCCAACACAAUUGAAAUGAUAGAUCAAGUUAGCUCUGCAAUAUUUACUAAAACUGUAAGUUCUUGAAAUCUUUUGGAUAUCUUUCAUCUUAAAUAUCAGUAGAUUUUCUUAAAUAUUUGUUCAAGGUUCUUCAUUCCUCCAACUGGCCGUGGUUUAGUGUUUAUGUGAUUAUACUUGUUGUCAUUGUUACAGUUCCUUACAUAUAUGCUCCGCAUUAUUUUGUUAAAAGUGUAGAUAGGUAAUAUAAUUAUUCUACAUCACUAUAGUGUAAGAGUAAGUAUGCUAACCAAAAGGGCACUGUGUGUAAUUGCAUCAGGGGCGUAAUAAUAAAAAUUUCUAUUAAUUCUAUUGUAUAGAAACAUGAAGAGCUAGGACGACCAAUGGCAUAACCAUAAAUAUACUCAAUAUUGAAGGGUAAUAUGGUCAUUAUACAACACUAAUUUUUUAGCAAUUAACAUGCGCCUCUUCUAUUUUCCUUCUAGAACAUUCUCUCUCUUCCUUCCAUGUUGCAAUUAAGAGAUGACUCAAGAAAAAGAAUUGGUAAAUUGAUCGGAUCUUUCCUAAACCUCCUCUCUCUAGACCUAAUAUGUGAUCUAUCUAUUUCAUAGACUUCUCUUGUGAUGCUACUAAAGCAGGAAUGGGUGGUGUAAAUGGUUUAAUUAUCGGUAUAUAUAAUCGGUUUAUACACAUAGGUAGCUUUAUGAACUUUAAAAAGGAUAUCUAGAAGGAUUGUAACAUGUCAUAUUCUACAAUUCUGAAGAGUAAGCAUGAUGAAUCUUUCUGAUUGAUAAAAAUGGCCUCGAGAGGGAUUGUAACAUGUCAUAUUUUUACAAUUGUGAAGAAUAAGCAUAUGUUGGAAUAUGAAUUUCAUAAAUUGUUGUUUCUUUCUGAUGAAUGUAGUAUAAUUGGUGCAGGUGAUUGACGGUUUAGUUCCAUUAACAGAGAUGUUCAAUUGCGUUAGUAAAACUUGAAAGGGAAUGACAAAGGAGCAUGCAUCGUACAUUAUGCAAUUAGGCAAGUUUGAUGUUGUCCCUCAACACAUUCAAAUCAGCUUGCCAAAAAGGAAGAAGCAGCAGUUGUUUAGUCAGUCAGCUUUCAAAUUUGGAUCCACGAACUUAAAAAUAGGUAUUUUUACUCAAUGAAGGGACUGCUCUUUGACAUCAUCUUGUCUUUUGGUGUUGCAAUUUCAGUUUGAUCUUUUAUCUUAAUUUUAGCCAUUAUUUUAAGAUUCUCUUUACAUUUUCCAACAUGGUUGAAGCGGUUAUAUUUUGACUAGCUUUCACUGCCAUAAAUUUCAUAGAGGCAAGUCAACAUGCCGGUUUUAUACUGAUUUGUUGUGAAUUUCAACCUCUUACUUGUUCUCCUAUGCUUGGUGGUUAAUUUCUUUAAAUUUUUUUACUCAACGGUUAGUCUCCCGUGGUUUCCACUCCAAGUCCACCAAUCCAACGUAAACUUGCCAACAUCGUAUUUCAUGAAACUUGUGUGCACUUACCAAACUACCCUGCCCCUUCGCCCUCAACCAUUAGCUCCCACGCCUAAUAACAAGGACAUCAUAGUAAAAUCACUUUGUUACCGUAAUCGAACAGACCCCAUAGAAUAUAGUUGGACUGGUUAUUUUUUUCUUUAACUUCUUUAAUAAUAAUUAAGAAUCUACGUUAACACUUGACUAAUAGUAUAUGAGUUCCCUCUGUUCUUUUUUCCAUCAUAAAGUUUAAUUUUUCUUUGUUGUUUCUAAAUUAAAACUUGUAUUCUUUUAAUUCCAAUCUUUUAACCUUUUAGGUGAACCAAGAAAAGAAAAAAUGUUGGAUGCAUAAAAGAAUAACAAGUUUUAUUCCCAAUGGUAAGAGUGACAAUUUGUUAGGGUUGGUUUUUUUUUUCCAUAAAUAUUUUUCAGAAUGUAGAAAAUUAUUUUUCUUGUUAAUUUUGCUUAUGUUGUGGGAAUUUUCUGAUAUAACAAGAGUCUACAAUCAGGCAGACGAAAACUCAAAUCGAAAUGAUCAGGAAGUAGAGAUAUGCAAUGUAGAAAUAUUUGAAGAAUGAUAUAACUGGCGUCUUAAAAUAUGGAUUGGAUGUCAACCCCUGCCACAGGGUAAUUUUCUUUUGUUGGAAUUGAUCCAUCUAUAUAUUCUGUUAUUCUAUCACUUAGUUUUAUUUUAUAUGGCCUCUUUCUUUAUACUGAUUUGUUGUGAGUUUUAGUUUUAUUUUAUAUGGCCUGUUUCUUUAUACUGAUUUGUUUGAGUUUCAACCUCUUACGUGUUCUCCUAUUCUUUGGUGGUUAAUUCCAUUAGUUUUUUUGUAUGUGCAUGUUAGUUCGUGCACAUAUCUUUUCUUCUACUUGAUUUUCCUAAAACCAAAUACACGCUAUCACUAAGAAUAAUGGUCUAUUGAGUUCUCUUCCUCUCAAUGCAACUGCAUUGCUUUGGCUAAUUUAUAUGAGCUUAAGGAAAAAGAAAAUGUAGAGUGAAUUUUUUAAAAAGAAAAUGUAGAGUGAUUUUUUUUUCUUUCUUUCUUUUCGGUGAUUACUAAGAAAGGCUAAUGAUCUAAAUUUAUGCAUUCUCUAAGUUGGUCUUUUUCAUAAGCACCAUGCCAAGUCAAAAAGGGCCACAUAAAAUAGGAUAGAUGGAGUAUAAUUUUUUUUUAAAUGUACUUCCUAUCAUAAAUAGUUAUUUUUGUAAUGAAAAAAUUAACAUAAAAUGUAUUCUUGAUAAAAAUAUUAGCCCCCCCCCCCUCCCCCUAAAAUUGAGGGCCCAAGGCAUGUGCUUACUUUUUAUAGCAUAGAGUUUACCAUGUGUUGCAAUUCUCAAGCCUUAAUUAGCUCUUGAAGAAGGUUAGCAACCACAUAUAUCUUCCUUCUCAGAAAUAUUUAUGCACAAAUAUACUUAUAUACGUGCAAGAUGUUUUAACAGUAAAUAUUGAAAUAUAGCGCAAGACUCUUCUCAUAUGAGCCAGACAUGUUUCAAUAUUCUAUGUGCUAAGAGGAUUCUUCCAUGAUUGUGAUUUUGAAUUUUGCAAUGUGAAUGACAGGAAUACUUUCUUGAAUCUAUUUCCUUAGGGCAUUGAGUGAAGGUUGUUCCUUUCAAAUUCACAUAUAACUUGGUAUAUGUUAAUUCUUUGUGGUUAUCUUCAGUAUUUUAUUUUAAAUUGACAUAUAACUUGUAAUAUGCUGGUUCUUUGUGAUUGUCUUCACUAUUUUAUUUUUACUUUUGCUUUAAGUGCUACUAUUUUUAUGAACAGUUGUUAUUUCGGAACUUUUAUUCCUUUCCUUGAGAUAUUAAAGCUGGAGUAUAUAGUUCGUGCUGAGUGAAGGAAAUUUUGCAUCUUAUCAAGACAAUUGCAAACACUCGAGGCAUCAAUGGAUUUAUGAAACGGAAUUUUAUUACUCUACAUGCAGCUCCAUUUAAGGAUACCAACUUCUAUUCUUUUGAAAAAUACAGAGAGCAUCUACUCAAAUUUACUACUAAUGAUUCAAGGCAUCACUAGAUUUUGUAAAAUGAAUUUUGUCAUAUUCUAUGAUUAGCUCUAUGUAAGUCUAUCCACUUCUAUUUUCUUAUGAUAAAUAUUGAAAAGUAUUUAGAAGAUAGUUGUCUGCAAUGUAAAGUUAUUUGUGGAAAGGGAGAAAUUAGUUGUAUUAUUGCACUUUGAAGUUCAUUUGUAUAACUUAUGCAAUGAUCUAUUAGCUUUUACAAUAUAUACUCUUAUCCGAGUAACUAUGCAAAGUACAUACCACUUGAAAAUGCUAAAUGUUGGGCCCGUGUAAGCACGGGCUAUAUCCAUCUAGUCUAUCUAUUAUAUAGAAACGUGAUGAGAGGACGACCACUGGCAAUACCGUAAUUAUACUCAUUUUUAAGGGUAAAAUGUAAUACAGCUGUUUUUAAGAAAAUUAGAAGCACUCCUUUCUUUUCACUUUAGAUAUUUUUUGUUUUUCUUAUUCUUUCUUAUGUUACUACUAGAUAAUGUGGCCCGUGCUAUAAUAUAAAUGGUAUGUUUUGGGGCUAAUAAUCGAGUUUUUGAAGCGAUUGUUUGCGUGGAUAAAGGAAUUAAGUUUUUUUUUAUCACAAACCUGUACUUUCUUUGACACUAUUUAAGGCAUAAUAAGACUACCCACAUACAACAUUUUUGAAAUAUUUUAUGUUGUCAAUUAUCAUGAUUUAUAGUAUUUUUACGAUAGAUUCACUUCAAGAAUCAGUGGAAUUUUUUGUAUUUUUUUCAAAACAUAUUUUAUAUUGUCAAUUAUCAAGAUUUAUAGUAUUUUUACGCAAUUUUUAAAUAUAAAAAUAAANNNNNNNNNNNNNNNNNNNNNNNNNNNNNNNNNNNNNNNNNNNNNNNNNNNNNNNNNNNNNNNNNNNNNNNNNNNNNNNNNNNNNNNNNNNNNNNNNNNNNNNNNNNNNNNNNNNNNNNNNNNNNNNNNNNNNNNNNNNNNNNNNNNNNNNNNNNNNNNNNNNNNNNNNNNAAGGUUAGCAAAAAAAUAUAUCUUCCUUCUCAGAAAUAUUUAUGCACAAAUAUACUUAUAUACGUGCAAGAUGUUUUAACAGUAAAUAUUGAAAUAUAGCGCAAGACUCUUCUCAUAUGAGCCAGACAUGUUUCAAUAUUCUAUGUGCUAAGAGGAUUCUUCCAUGAUUGUGAUUUUGAAUUUUGCAAUGUGAAUGACAGGAAUACUUUCUUGAAUCUAUUUCCUUAGGGCAUUGAGUGAAGGUUGUUCCUUUCAAAUUCACAUAUAACUUGGUAUAUGUUAAUUCUUUGUGGUUAUCUUCAGUAUUUUAUUUUAAAUUGACAUAUAACUUGUAAUAUGCUGGUUCUUUGUGAUUGUCUUCACUAUUUUAUUUUUACUUUUGCUUUAAGUGCUACUAUUUUUAUGAACAGUUGUUAUUUCGGAACUUUUAUUCCUUUCCUUGAGAUAUUAAAGCUGGAGUAUAUAGUUCGUGCUGAGUGAAGGAAAUUUUGCAUCUUAUCAAGACAAUUGCAAACACUCGAGGCAUCAAUGGAUUUAUGAAACGGAAUUUUAUUACUCUACAUGCAGCUCCAUUUAAGGAUACCAACUUCUAUUCUUUUGAAAAAUACAGAGAGCAUCUACUCAAAUUUACUACUAAUGAUUCAAGGCAUCACUAGAUUUUGUAAAAUGAAUUUUGUCAUAUUCUAUGAUUAGCUCUAUGUAAGUCUAUCCACUUCUAUUUUCUUAUGAUAAAUAUUGAAAAGUAUUUAGAAGAUAGUUGUCUGCAAUGUAAAGUUAUUUGUGGAAAGGGAGAAAUUAGUUGUAUUAUUGCACUUUGAAGUUCAUUUGUAUAACUUAUGCAAUGAUCUAUUAGCUUUUACAAUAUAUACUCUUAUCCGAGUAACUAUGCAAA